This 468-nucleotide ribosomal RNA is filed under the name uncultured bacterium. RNAcentral describes it as "partial 16S ribosomal RNA". It matches the Rfam family "Bacterial small subunit ribosomal RNA", at positions 28 to 507 of the family's 1533-position model. The record is from RNAcentral.
GACGAACGCUGGCGGCGUGCUUAACACAUGCAAGUCGAACGGAAAGGCCCUGCUUUUGUGGGUUGCUCGAGUGGCGAACGGUUGAUUAACCCGUGAUUAACCUGCCCUUGACUUUGGGAUAACUUCAGGAAACUGGGGCUAAUACCGGAUAGGAGCUCCUGCUGCAUGGUGGGGGUUGGAAAGUUUCGGCGGUUGGGGAUGGACUCGCGGCUUAUCAGCUUGUUGGUGGGGUAGUGGCUUACCAAGGCUUUGACGGGUAGCCGGCCUGAGAGGGUGACCGGCCACAUUGGGACUGAGAUACGGCCCAGACUCCUACGGGAGGCAGCAGUGGGGAAUAUUGCACAAUGGGCGGAAGCCUGAUGCAGCAACGCCGCGUGCGGGAUGACGGCCUUCGGGUUGUAAACCGCUUUCGCCUGUGACGAAGCGUGAGUGACGGUAAUGGGUAAAGAAGCACCGGCUAACUACGUG